CCAGAGCUGGAACAUAACAAAGUAACAAAAUCAAAGUCACUAGCAGGCAGGUAUACAGCAUUUCUGUCAUUCUACAUGUACAAGGUUGAUUUAGUCUGACAACGGCAAUAUUGCUUAGUGUCACAAUGGCAAUAUUGCGCAAGGAAACAAGCGAGCAAAAUCAGAGUGAAUGUUGACACACCUAACACUAAUGUAACCAGUACCAAUAUGACAUUGAAGAUCAUCUUUUAGAUUUAAUUUAUAAUAGCAUGUAAAACCACACAUAAAUGUAUAAUAUAAUAUAUUCCACAAAUUCAACCACCGACCCUGACCUAUUUUAUCUUCUCUCAACACCCUCUCUUUGACCACUCCCAACCCCCUCUUCUUUUGCCUGGGUAGCAUCUAACAACUGCAUACCAUUGGUCACAUCCAUCACUAGUGCGUACUUGAUCACAAAUUGUCGUCAGGAUCUUACAAACCACAGUCUGGUAUGAUCCAGACCUAAAUGGACCUCAGUGAUCUGGAUCAGAUCCCUAGAUUAAGAUCAGUAUGGAAAAUGAGAUAUGGACUGUAGAUCAUAUAAUCCUCGAAUUCUAAGAUCCAGAUACAAGUCAUCUUUUUGCAAACUAAAGCUAUUGCAUUUCCAUUCUUUAAGAUGAAUUAGUUUCUGACUGAUGCAAUGUCCAAAUCAUCACUAGCAAACUUUCAAAACAUCAAGGGUUUAAAUCUUAUCAAAUUUUUUUUCAACUUUUAAGAGUAAAGAAAAUUGAGAUUUUGUUGUUUCAGAACUAAGAGCUAGGGUUUUUUUCCUUUUUCAAUCUCUCUCCUAUCUUGUUGAAAAUAUAGAUUCUUUCUACAACCACUUAAAACAAAGAAACAUUCAAUAAGCUUCUUCUACAUACCUUGCUUUUGGGUCAAAUUACUCAAAUUAAGAUAUUCUAUGGAUUUAAAGGGUGAAAUAAAACUAUAUUAAGCAAUCAAAAAUUGCCCCAUCCAUCCUCCCUCUAAAUCAUCAUUGGAAACAAUGUUAUGACUCCCUAGGUCCCCCAACCAUUGUCAGCUCAAUAAGCUUCUUCUAUAUAGAUUCUUUCCACAACCACUUACAACAAAGAAACAAUCAAUAAGCUUCCUUCCAUAUACCUUUCUUUUGGGUCAAAUUACUCAAAAUUAAGAUAUUCUAUGGAUUUAAAGGGUGAAAUAAAACUAUAUUAAGCAAUCAAAAAUUGCCCCAUCCUCCCUCUAAACCAUCAUUGGAAACAAUGUUAUGACUCCCUAGGUCCCUCAACCAUUGUCAGCUCCCUCCACUCUUGUGUACCUCUACCACAUCCACUUGCCUCCAGACUCCACUUGCAAUGAACCUCAUCUGCCAUGCCAUCAGCCCCUUUCCAUUGCCCUCCUCCAAGAUGAGUGCCAACCCUCCUUUAAGUCUUGCUUAAGCCAAAACCUUGACAGGGUCAGGUAAUCAAAUCAAGAAUCUGAUUACAAACAUUAGUGUUUGCCCAUGCUCAACGUAUGCCAUAAAGCACAUAUCAUGCCAAUGGGUCACAGGCAGUGCACCAGUGCAUUUAUGACAUACUUUAUUGUUGGAUAAGGCUUGAUUACAUGCAUAGCAGCAUAAUAUGUAUACAUGCAUAUAUGCAUGCAUUCUUGCACCCACUUGGUGCAUAGGUUAAAGACCACCAAAGCAUGUGAUUUUUUUGGUUUGUAGGCAUUUUUCGUUCUACAGAUAAUGACCAGUGGUGUGGACUGGGUGCCCCAUUUUCAGUUCUUCUCCAAAUCCAAUCUUUAUCAUUGGGAUAAGGCUUGGUGCACACCUACAUAACAUGCAUAGAUGUGUAUGAACGUAACCAAGAAAAUUUAAUAAUGUCAGGUUCAUGAACAAGACAAUCAAUAAUGAACUCAGUAAAUUUAACAAAGAACAAUUUAAAUUAGAGUUCAGUUGACAACUUGAUUGAUAUUUCAUGCGAAGUAACACUGAUAAUGAUAAUUAUAUUCAUGCUUGAACUAUUAUAUCAACUAUUAAAGAUAGGCAAACAAGUUCUUUCAUGCGCAGCAUAGAGUAUGUACCAGAAACAUUUUAACCUCAGGCUGGGGAAAUACCUAGGGUAUAUAGAGGCAAAAGCUUAAGAGCCUCCGGAAGAAUUAGCUGUCCGGAUGAUGAUACAGUUGCACAAUAUUUACGAUAGGAGUGUAAGAUGUUGAUGCAGAGGUUUGUUAUUUGAUCCCGAACUUGAGAUAGAGGACUAGUUGGGAUGCCAUUUGCAGCUGUAGGAUGCAGAACAAUGAAAAAAGUCAUUUACUGCAAGAGCAAACAACAAUACUUAAGAAUAUUUUACCUUGCUUCAGAAAACAGGCAAACUGAGUGUCCAGAUCAGCUGAACGAAACAGAUUGCUAAGCAUGCUGGUGCAAGGAAGCGAGAGAUUUAUAAUUCGAAUUCUUCUUUGCCCAUACACUGUAGUGUAAAGAACUGCACACUGGACAAGGAAGCAAUAGUAAACAAGAUUAACUCUCUAAAGUAAUAGAUGAUAUUGCCAUCAAAAGUUAAACACAAUGUUAAUAAUUGAAACAUGAAGUGUAAGCUAGGUUGUACAAGGCACAACAGAACUGAGUUGAACGAUGUGAAAGCAGCAGUGCUCAUCUUUGCACGUAAGUUUUUAAUCAUACCUGGAAAGCACAUUCUGAACCCUCCUGGAACUUAUCAUCAUGUUUGAAAGUGACCAUUAUGGUUUUGUCGCAAUCGAUCUGUGUCAAACAAGCUUUCUUAGGGCUGCAAAUCAAUAUGCAAUGUAACAAUAAAGCAGAAUAGACGUCUUGUCAUAUCAAUUCAGUGUUAGCAAAUCCUAUUCUAACUGACAUUGUAAAAAGUGUUUGAAUCAGAUACAUCAGUAGGGAGGACGAAACUUCCCCAUAAAUGAAAAAAUUAGAAGAUCGGUCUUAAUGAAAUAUUCAAAAUGGGACCGAUCAGAGAAGAGUUAAAUGCAAUAGUACCGCUGCCGUUCUAUUAUAGUGUCGGAAUGUGGCAUAGUAUCCGAUUUGGCAUACCGAGUGUUGGUACACUCCCAAACCGUAUACCGGUCGGUACCGGUAUGGUAUGAUAUGAUCAUUACACACCGUUAUCGACCGGUAUGGCAAACUUUGGUAAAAACUAAGUGAAAGGGAUAGGUUAGCAAUGUUGAAUGGAAGUGUAUGUGAAAGCAGAUCCUGCUCUGUAUUUGGACAUCCAAUUCAGUAAAAUUAGGAAUUCAUCAUAUAUUUCAAGAUUAAUAAAGUAUUUAUAAUUCUUGAUCAAGAAUGCAGCUUUACAAAAGUAGCUUAGUUUUAAGGACACGAUUCUAAUCAUCAAUCAUUUUCCCCUUUUCGAAUAAUUAUUCACUUUGUAAUCGCAAUUUAAACAGAAGUUCUACUUUUAUCUUUACCAAAAAUCCAAUUAAUAAACAAGGUAUUAUGUUAAAUAUGCAUAUUAUCUUUAUAUUAGUUGACUUGACAGAUAAGUCAAAGAUGUGUAGGUAUAUGAGUUUAAUAAAAACUGUCAUAUUGGAAAAAACAUGGUGUGAUUGAUUUCCAUAUCUUGAUGCUAUUAUACAAAAAGGGCAAGGACAACAAAGAUUUUAUAUAUAUACAUAUACGUGCGUGCGUGUGUGCAUGCGUGUGUGAGUGAUUGCAUGACAUGAUAUAGCAGAGAGAAGCUUCCAAUUCAAUCUUGUCAUGUUGCUAAAAUAGAAGAGGAAGUGGGUGCUGGGAAGUGGAUAUUUUAGACCUUCUAGUAGGGAAGGGCUUAGGAAGCAGGUGUGAGUUAAAGAUUCUGGGAAGAUUCUGAAUUGGUGCAUUAACCUAGGUAGAAGAUUCCGGCUAUUAAGAAACAAAGUCAUGAUUUAUCAGUGCUCACAUGCUCAUUCAUGUAAUCAUAAUUAUUUAUGAAAACAUACAAGAGCCUGGAUAAAUUCAGCCAUCAUUUCUAAAAUCUUAUGACAGCAACAGAAGAAUAGUUUUUGGUGGCCAAUAACAUAGUAGGUUAGUCCUGGUAUCUUGCCAGUUAUCUACUCGUACCUGACUACUUAAAAUCGAUUCAACCCUUCAAAUGAUUUGUUAAGAAAUUCAAAAUGUGAAAUAAAUUCACAGCAGCAUGAUUUCCGAAGUCAGAAAACAGCUUAAAAAAUAUAAGAGUACCGACCGCAGGAAGAUCAAUAUCAGUAGGAAUGCGCUUGCAAAAACUUCCAGAGUACUCCUGAACUUGAAGGCCCUAUGAAGAAGUAAAAUAGAGAAAACAAUAUUCAUGGCCCAAGGCAAGUUUAGUUUAAAAAUAUAACCAUUAAUUCUAGCAAGUACAUCUCUCAUAAGACUUACCUGGCUGCAUCUUACGCGCAUCACAGCCUCAAAACCUUGGGGUCUACUGAUAUUCCAUCUAAGAUCAUUGUAGAGUUUAGCAGUAUCGGAAAGCGCAGAAAAUGGGUAGUAAUAAUAAACCUGCAACAAGGAAAAAGAAUAUAAAUUACUUCUCAAAUGCACCCACAUCUGAAACAACACCUAUCACCACAUUCAUGGUAUUAUGUGGCUUCAUUCUUUCAUUUCAGUACAUCCUCAAAAUAAAUUUAUAAUUUGUUAUCUUUGAUUCAUAACACAUUCGAUGUUUAAAAAAAAAAAAUUAUCACCUAACUCAUUUGUACCCAGAAGAAUAUCUACAGAUGUCAUAAAUAUAAAAUGUUUCAGUUCCAUUGAUUUUAUUAACAGGUAAAACGGUGCCCUUUGCCAUAAUUUUUGAUAAAACACGAGAGCUAAGAAAGACUACCUGUCCUCCAGUAGUUCUUGGAACAACAGAGAUAGAAGCGAUGUCCACAAAGGUCUGGGUCGUAAGGAAUAUAUCCACACAAACCUGGAAAAUGUUAUGUUAUUAUUUUGCCUACAUCCAAGAUAGAUUCGUUUCAAACUUGAGCUCGGUUACUUGUAUAAAAUCACCUGAUAUUCAGCAAACUCUAUUGCCAUUGUCUUUAGAGUCUUGUCUGCUGGCUGAAGCAAUUUAUGGGCCUCCUGAAAUCCAGUGAAGAAUGUUUGCCUAUUCAACUUUCAUUUAGACUUGAAUUUAUGAUGGAAUCUAUUUAGGCCUAUAAUAACUUACAAACAAAUCAGAAAGUUAAUUUUAUCAUUUAGACUUCUACUAGAAGCAUAAAGUGCCACAGUAAAAUUAAGAAUAUUAAGGACAGGAAAAUUAAGAAUCAAGCCACACUGAUCUAACUGCAAGUCAGCUUAUGGAUAAAAAGUUAAAGACAUUCUAAAAAUGAAUAGCUGAACUGUCAUGAAUUUUUUUUUUCGAGUCAGAACUAUCAAGGGUUCACGACGAUUCCAGAUUCUGGCAUCUUUUGCAAUGGCUGAGUCCCUUGAAGCUCGUAGUUAAUAAGUAUCCACAAAAUACCAUUAUUAAUGUAUAAGCAAAUGUACAAGAAAUCUGACAAUCAAGAGCACAAGAAUAUUAGAAGCUAUGUAUCGUAAAACCUUAUCUCCUGAAGAAAUAUUUGUUCUUCCUUCUGCUUCUCUGGAGGAAAGAGACCCAAUACCAACUGAUGGCAAGACUGCAAGGAACAAAAUAUAAUCAGAAGCUAUUCUAUUAAAUAUAACAAAAUACAACCAAAAAAGAGAUGAAGCAAACUUUACACCCAUGAACUAAAAAGGUUGAGGCCAUACACAUUACGGAUUACAUACAUGUAUACAAAACAAAGAUACAGACACCCAAUUUUCUGCCCAUCUGCCUAAAUUGGUCCCAAAAGGUUGAAAAUUAUAAUCAACGAAGCACCUUAGGUACCAUAAUAAUACAUGUUUCAUUUUAAAGUGUAUCAGCAAGGGCAGAUGAAUAGUUGCAACUUGCAAAUAAUGAAACUUGGGUGCAAAACUAUAAUAAUUGCCAUUUGACAUUUUCAUCCCUAAUUCAACUAUAAUAAUAGGGCACCAUUUAGUUUGGAGUAAAGUCUUUUUUUCCCAAUAAAAGCUUUGAAAUAUCAAGAAUCAAACCUAUAUUGACCAAGGGUGGGUAUCGCAUGUGUUGUAUCAAGGAUCAUGCUGACAGAAGAUAUCAAUAGUUAUGUAUAGAUAGCCCCCAAAUAAACCCUUGGUACGGCAUUUGUGCCCUCCAAAAUCUAUCAUGUUUUCCAGUCUCAAUGGUAUGUUUUUGUAAGAAAUAAAGCAGGGGUGUUGAUCUAAGUGUCCUAAGCAUGACCUUCUGUGUGCGCUGAAGUCAAUGACAUUCAAAUUGUCAAAAAAGAAAAAAAAAGAUCAUAUAAAUUGGAGCAUAUAACAUAUUUGCGAUAAAGAUCUAUAACGUGCAUACUCAUAACAUAAUGAACAAUUAGAAAUAGCAUCCAGGUUUUUCAUAAAGACACUUCACUUAAGAAAAAAUUACGUAGGAGCAUAAACAAAUCAAUGUUCUCCCCUUCUUCUUGUACUAACAGCUGGUGGGAAUCCUUAAAUUAGCAAUCAUUUUGUUGUAUUUAGUUCGACAUCUAACAAGAGGUUGAUCUCUACCCAAAUUUGAAUUAAAUUUCUCAAGUUAUCCACUUUACAACUCGAUUUCCUAUUUCUUUACUUCGUCUGAAAUUCAAAUAAAAACAUGGUUGUUCUAGCACCAUAAUUCGAACAUUAAAGGUUGAAUCAUGUGAUGAUUGACAUUGGAUGCUUCAAGAAUCUCCCUUUGCCCAUUUCAAUCUACAAAUUGAGAACAAACCUUUUUCCCUUUGCUUGUUUCAAUCUACAAAUUGAGAACAAGCCUUUCUCCCCACGAGAAAUUAUUCCCUAGCAGCAGAUACCGCUCGGUCUAGGCAUGAAUUCAGACUUGGCAGCAAGGUGACCGUGAUCUAUCCUUGAAUCACCCAAUUCAGGGUCAGUUCAAGUGGUUCAGUUGGUAUUUGCCUGAAACAAACCCCACUGUUUUGUUUUAGGGUUGGCACUUUGCACAGUAUAUACCAAGAUGUACAAACUGAAUCGACCAGUUUUCAAACAUUGGUUUCAUAAUUGCUAACCCUUAUCUCCAAGGUUUCCACCUCUAACCAACUUUGAUCAUCUCCCCCUAACACUACUUCAUCAUCUAAAAAUUAAAUAAACAAACCAACCUUCUAUGUUUGAACAUCAGUUAAUACAUAAAUAACAAAUGAAAGGACUUAACUACUGUGGCUUUCAAAUUACUAAUAAUAAUAAUAAUACUUAUAUAAUAAUAAUAAUAAUAAUAAUAAUAAUAAUAAUAAUAAUAAUCACAUUAGUGAAAAACCACUAUUUCAGCCUUUAUUUUAAACAUUGAUGUAAGCUUCCUGCAAUAAAACCAAUUGGCAUGUCCCCUGGUCAUUGGCAGCCUUUAUUUUAAACAUUGAUGUAAGCUUCCUGCAAUAAAACCAAUUGGCAUGUCCCCUGGUCAUUGUUCCACCACCCUCUAACCCAAUUUAAAUUGUUCUAACAAAAUUAAUUCACAAACUACAUCAUAUAUAUCCCCAUUAGCUAGUGCAGUAGUAAACCUCCAACCAUUUGCAUUUUCCUUGUCCUGGAGUUUUCAUUAGGUUAGCUAGUAAAUAACAAGAACCCAUGUCUCCAAAGAUAUUUCUAAACCUUUAUUAGUAUUUUAUAAGCCUAAGACAGUUUAGUUGUUAACCUGUGCAUUUUACCGAUUUUUAACACUUAAGUGAGAUUCUGAUAAAUCAUGUCCACCUUUAAAGUGUUCAUUAGCUUCAGCAAUGAACCAUUUACAGUUUCGUGGUCUUCCCUCUUUCUCAUAAACUGAAUGGUAUUUGCACUUGGUUCACCUGAUUAUUUACCUGCAUCUCUAAAUUUCUUAUCUAUCAUAAAGAUAUUAUAAAUUAUAAAGAAUUAUCAGAUAUAAAAUUAUGCUGCACAGUACCAUUAGUAACCAAAUACAGCAAAAAUAUAUUAAUGUGGACAAGUUAGAACAUUAUAAGCAUGUUAUAUACCCAACAUAUUUAUGUCAGCCUUUACACCCAAAGUAGCAUUGUGGAGCUUUUAAUCCUUGUUCACCGUAUCAUUCAGCUCUUCCAAAGGCCACUUCAAAUUUAAGAGACUUUUUUUUCACAUAAAAAUCUAAUCUUAUGCAGCACUUCACCAGCUUUGUUGGAGAUAACCAAAUCAACCAGGUAAUUGGAAGUCCAUUAGUUAAUCUGGAUGCCGAUAUGCAUCCAUAUCGACUUUCUCACAUGGGCCAUAGCCGCCAUACAAUUUUAUGUGCUAACGAGAAUGAAGAUGGGAAGAGAUGACUCAUUGUUUUUCUUGGGCAGGGAAGGGGAAGGAGGAUUCAAUUCUGAAAUAGUUAUUUUCUUUCUCUUUCUUCUAAAACUUGAUUUUCACAAGAAAAAUUGCAAAUUUGAUCAACAUAACUGAAGUUAGGUCAGGAAAGUGGCAGCAACAGAAACCAUAGGGACAAAGAGGUUUUUCUCGGAGCUUGGUUAAUAUACUGUUCAUAAGCCUGUAAGUUUCUUCCCCUUUUCUGCCAGAGCUUCGGUUAAAAAACUGUUCAUAAGCUUGUAACAUCAAGCCCAAUUCUAGCCAAUUUAUUGCUACACCAGCAUACAACAUGCUGGAAGCUUUUGCUCAACUAGAUGCAUGUAAACUAUGGCAGUAGUUUUCAAGCAAAGCCAGCAAACUGAGAUCCCCAUGCUAUCACCAAAUUGGGAGUUAAAAAAUGCUGACAUGUAGUGAUCAAUACUCCUACUUCCAGAGUCUCAAACAUUCUAUGAAAAAAUGAAAUAUGACAGUUCUUAUAGUAGAAGAAUUUUAAAACUUCUAAAAAGCAUUCAUCCUACAGUUCUACUUAAAUAUUUUGUUAAAUCAAGAACCGAACCCAAAACCAACUGAGAGACAAGAAAAUUUUAAAUCUACAAGAUGUGCAGAUGAUUGAGAUAAUGAGCAAAAAAUGCAUGAUUUUGUUCUAGUACCAAAUAAAAAUAAAUGUACUGUGAGGCUUGCCUGAUUGAAACACAAGAAGCUUUCCACCUGUGGGUUUCAUAGCCAGGAACCCAGCCUGAAAUGGAUUGAAGAUAAAUAUAUAAGAUUAGUCUGUUUUUCUUUGAGAAAAAUAGCUAACAUUAUGGAUUCUGACACUAAGGAUUGAGCAUCACUCCACAUAUGUAUAUAUGAAAAUACCAAGGUAUGCUGAACCGGUACCGCCGGCCGUAUCGGCCGGCCGACGGUACAAAUCGAUACGGUUUUGUGCCGUACCGAACCGACGAAGGCAAGCGGACCCGAAUCGGAAGAAAAAAAGAGAGAGAGAGAAAUAGAGAGAGAGAAAGAGGAAGAAAGAAAAAGAGAGGGAAAGGAGUCGGCGGGGCCGCCGGAUGGCCUCCGGCUGACUGCCGUGGUCGCCGGAGGGCGCAAUCCACGCGCGCGGCGCCGCAGGUGUAAAACAGGGGCGUCGCCCCUGUUUCGCAAUUUUUUUUUAAAAAACCUAGUUUUAAGUGAAGUCGGCAAAUAGUUUGCCGGCUUCACGAUUUUUGUAUUUUUUUUUAAAAAAAAUCCCUUAAGUCGGCAACUAGGUUGCCGACUUCAUAAUUUUAAAACCAAAAAAAAUAAAAAAUCAAAACAGACAGUCGUUUGUUUCGAAAAAGAAGAAGAGGACGAGUCGCAGAGGGGCUCCGCCCGCUCGACCGCCCUCAGGCCGUUGGCGUCGACUCGCCGGCCACUNNNNNNNNNNNNNNNNNNNNAGGCGCCGUCCGUCCGGUAGGUCCCUCGUCCCCCCUCCGAGCGCUCUCUCUCUCUCUCUCUCUCUCGCUCUUUUGAAAGUCCUAUCGGACGAUACGGGACUCGGAAGCCCUCCGGCGGCUGUAGCCGGUCACCGCCAGCCUCCGACGGCUCCCACCUCCCUCUCUCUCCUCCUCUCUCUCUCUUUCACUUUCUCUCCUUUUUUCUUUCAUACCGCCCGUGUACCGAAUUUACCGGCCGAAUCGUACUGGUUCCCUGCCGGUCCGGUGCGAUACGGAGUGUACCGGCCGGUUCGGCACGGUAUAGAAAACCUUGAAAAAUAUAUUUAUAAUUUUUUAAGUAAAGCUCUUAAUCACCCAAUUAAUUUGAAUUUAGGACUUGUUUGGCUGCAAAAUAUAUUUUGGAAGGAAUAUCCUUCCACUGUUGAAGGAAGAGACCUAUACGACAGAAUACGACCUUUUUGGCAUCUGAUAGGAUGGAUAAGUGCGGGAAAUAAGGGGCAUUAAUACACAUUGAACUUCAAGAUAGUAAGGAUUUUUAUCACAAAAACGAGAUUGCCCUCUCACUUUUUUGAAUAUAGGCAAAUGGUAAUCGAAGAAGGGAAUAAGGGUAAGCCUAUUCCGUGAUAGAAGUCUGUUCAACCAUUUUGGUGGAAUAGAUGUAUAUUCUGCAGGCCCACUUAUACCCUCACAUGUUACAAGCCCCUUUCCAUGAUCCUUUUUGGUGUUAUGCGAGGAUAUCCCCCAUUUGGAAGAAUAACCCCACUCUUAUUCCACAGCCAAUGCCCCUAGUACUACAGAAAAGUGUAAAGCUUCAGUAUCUUAUAACUAUACAGCAUCAGAGAGUUCAGAUCCCCAUGUAAAUAGCUCUUAGAAAUUAAAAUAUGAAAGAAAGAGGAACAAGCAUAGUCAGGAUGGUGAACAACCUUAACAAAAUGCAUACCUUGAUAGCUGCACCAAAAGCAGAAUCAGCGACUCUGUUAUUUUCAAACAUGUUCGGGAUGCUAUCCAGCAAUUGCUCCAAAUUUUGACGGCACUAAAUCCUCGGAAUAAAACAAGAAAGUUCUCUAAGCAUGAAAAACUUUGCUGACAGAGGAAUGCAAGUACAAGUCAGAGUUUUAAAAAAAAAAAAGCAAUCCAAACCUCAGUAAGUUGAACAAUCAGGUCGGUAUGAAGGGGUGUAUAAACAUCUUGUACGUCAGGAACAAUGAGCAUCAAAGGCUGCAAAUGUAGUAAGAAUUAAUAAAAUAAAAGAAUCAUUUCAUGCAAUCCAUUAGUAUCAAUAGCAUCCUGUGCAAAUGUAUCUAACUCCAUAUCCUCAGAGACUUUGUAAGUGAAGAAAUGCUGAGAGAUUUCUUUGUAGCUUUUCCACAAUGCUUGUCUGCUAUUGGAUAAGCAUCAAAAUGAUGAUAUGCGUGCAACAUGACAAUGUUUAACAGUGCAUAGACAAUCUAGACUUGAAUAUGUACCUAGCAAAUAAUCUUUUCAUAUUUUAUGAGACAUUUAAUCCAGAAUUUAGUCUAGAAAAAUGUUUCCUCAAACAAUACAGACCUUGCCAAAGAAUACAGUGCACAUGCUGUAUCUACUAGAUGACUCAAGGCACACGAGCCCAGCCAAAUUUUAAUUUUUAGUAAAAACAUAAGGUAAAUAUUGACAUAAAAACUUGCACAUGAACCGACCAGGAUACAAACAUUUGAACUCAAUUCCCAAGGUUUACUUCGUAAACAUGAUAUCAUCCUUCUUGAGGUUUUUACCACUCAAUUUUUGUCCCCAGCAGGUCCUUUCUACUGAAACAUUCUGUAGAUAUUUGUGUUAUGUGGGUAGCAUAUUUUAUUCAACAUUUGUGUUCUGUGGGUAGCAUAUUUUGUUCAUCUUACUGGUCAGGCCUGAGUGUAACAUGUAAACUGCACAACUCCCAUGGAAGGGUUGACUGAACUCAAAUUUCCAUGGAUGCAAGACAACAUAACAAGAGAAAUAGGUGAUUCUUAAUAGCUCUACAAAAAUAAAAGUUCAUGCCAGCUCUCAGAUGCUUGUAAGACAUGAUAAAAACAUCUCCAUUACCUGCUGUGAUGCUCGUUUAAGAUUGUAAAAAUGAAUAGAUGAAUCGAAGGUCGCUAUGCCCACCAUUGUUCGAGGACCUUCCUGCAAAGAGGCAACAAAUUUCAAUAAAUAACUUGAACACCUUCCAGUCUCUCUUGCUCAUAAAAGUUGCAAGAUGCAAAAUAAUGGGUGAAUACAAAUGGAAACUAAAGCUUGUAUCAAGACAUUAACAUUGAUGAAAAAUUUAAUUAGACAAUAAUUAUUAGAAAAGAAAGGCAAAUAGAAAAUAUAUGUUAUAGGUUGAUUCCUUCCAUCAAUCUCCAAAACAUAAUUCUAGCAGUGGUCAAAGUGAUCCAGCUGAUGUGGCAAGUCGUUACUAGUUAAGAUGACAAAGAAUGAUUUAAAAACUGCCAAGUAGAAACUAAAACCCAUAAUUAACUUUUUAUUAAUAUAUCUGUUCCAUGAUUCAAAUCCCAUUGGAUGGGGCCAUCCGAGUUUUUCCAUGGAAUGGGAUGCACCACCAUCCAUGGGAUGCACCACUCUGGAUGGUGGAUGUCUUGUCUUUUCCCAGUCCCUGUCCUGCCUUAUCCCAUCCUGACACUUGGGAUUGUAGGACAUACUGCCAUUCCACCAGGACUUAUAUCCUUGCUUAUGCUGAUGUCAUUGUUGAUCUCAUCAUAAUGUUAGCAUGACCACAUUGGCAUGAUAACAACAAAACUAUAACACUAAAAAUGAAGCUAACAUUAGCAAAAUAGUCUACCUGCAUCACAUAACAACAAUAAUGAGCCAGUGUUAAUUACUGGAUACAAUAAUGCAACGUCAUGCUUUUCAAGCAAAAUUAGUCUAACAUCGAGACUAGGGGCAGUUGCACACCUUUUAAUGCACAGUAAUUAAUUGAAACAUUUUCUAAUGGUAAGUAAUUAAUUGAGAAAACUGGCACAUCAAACUACAAGAUUCCCUUCUAUUAGCAAAAGCUCAUAAGCUGUGUUAAGAAGUGUAUGACUCUAGUUCUAGGAUUAUUAUAUGGAAACUAAAACCUUCAUGCUCAACAAGUUAGCUGCCCACAACUUCUGAUAUAUGAGAAAUAUCCCAGAGAGCUUAAGUAUUUGGUAAGCGGGUUAAAGUAUCAGGACCAACAGGUAGACAAUCCAGGAAUUAGACAGCCAUUUUACCUCUCUAUUCACCAUACAGUUAUAUGGUGAUUAUCAUAUUUCUUUAAGAAAAAGCAUCAGCCAUGAUUUUGACAAUGACGUUGUAAAGUCAGAUACUCAUGACAAUAGUUUUGAGAGAUGACAAAAUCAUGACUUGUCACAAUACUGACAACAAUAUAAGUGGAUAAUGGCAGGGAAUCUAGUACCUUUUCUGAUAUAACCAGUGACAGGAAAGGGCCCACAGUGCCUAAAAAGUACUAAUGGUUAAGAGUUAAGAGGUAGUAGGGCUUUUGUUCCAUGAGAGGAAUGAGUGUAGCAUGGUUAUGAUCCUUAUUUCAACUUUGUCAAGGUUUUGAUUGGUUGUUUCAUCAAUGAGGGAGUCCUUUAAUUGCUUAGCCACUUAUCUGCGGCAUUGUUGUGAUUUUCCAAAGCAGCAAAGACUAACUGCUUAUAGAAAAAACCAAUCUGAUCAACUGAUCCUUAACACCUACAGUAUGUUAUGACUGCCAAAUAUGAAGGAGAAUAAAGGAAAAGAAGAUCUCAGAAACUCUGAGAAGUCCUAGUCCUAACCAAACUCUCAGAUCGAUGAACUAAUUCCCUGCAAAACAAUUCUCUGCAUCAGGUCUUUUCAUUUAAAGGAUCAUGCCCAACAACCAAGCAAGCUAUACUUGAUUUUUCUUAAACAUUUUUUCCACGUGGAUUAUUGAACUACCACAAACACUAACAUUACUCCUGAUUUUUCCUAAACAAUUUUUUUCACAUGGAUUAUCAAACCACUAUCCAAUGUUCUAGUUCUAUCUUGAGCAGAUUUUAUCAUUGCAUUGGUAGCACCCGGUGGUACAAUGAAUCAAAAUAGUUGGAUCAUGACAAUAAGACCAAAGGAUGAAAACUGAGUUUAACCAGAGAAGAGCUGGAUCACCUAUGCAAUCUUGUAAAAAAAAAAAAACAACAGGAGAUUGACACCAAUGAAUUCAAAGAACCAAUAGUAAGUUCAUUUUCCAUACCAUGGCACUUCACAAGAAAAAUCUGAUAAUGAAUUCUUUAGACAUAAUGUGUGCAAUUAAAGUUAGAGCCCAACAAUACAAAGAGCAAGAAUACAAUUUGAAGUUUGAUAUUCUAAACUUAAACAGAAAAUUCCAAAUCAAGGAACUUUUUAUUGCGGGAAUUGUCAAAAAGUACUUGUUUGGCUGCAUCAUGCUCCAGAGGGAAAAGCUAGAACAUAUGCUUCAAGAAGAAGAAGAAGCAAAUACACACAAAAAAAAAAAAAAAUGAUGCAAAAUUUUCAUGACUAAAGAUAAAGGUCUUCUGAGAGAAAUUCUUUCUCAAAGAUUAUGAUGCAGUAAACUACAUAAACCACAUCAACUUGAUGCAAGAUUCUCUUAGCAGCAUAAACUAAGGAGAUGACUUCAGCUUGUUCUCAAUACAGAACUUAGUCAAAAAAGCAAACCAGGAUAAUUACUUGGUUAAAACCAAUCUGAAUCAGAAUAGUCAAAAUCCAGCUUCUAUAUUCCCCAUAUGGAUCAUGGUCUAUAUGGUCAACUAGACCAUAGAUGUUAAUUUUAUAGGUUCAGACACCAUGCUUCUCCAUGCAAACACAAACAGAAAUUUUUAGAAAACAUUUAGGGCAACGAAAAGUGAAUUGAGGAGCCAGUCUAGCACAUGCUGUACAUCAGUUGGUAGAGCACAGAAGGGACAAUCUUCCAUGUCAAGCCUCCUAAGCAACAAGGGCAGAGCCUAAAAUGUGCUCACACAAGACAGCCUCUUUUAAACAUAGAAAAACACUAGCAAUGUUCUGGACCCUUAUGAUUUACUUUCUAUAAGUUGGGCCCCUCAUUGUAACCAAAGACUCAUUAAGUUGUAAUUUGCCCCAUCCCUCUUCUAAGCAAAGAGUACAUGAAAAGCUGGGUUCUACUAAAAUCAUGUUGGAAAAAGUAACCAACUCAAUUAUCAAUAGGAUGACAAAGAGAGAGAAAGGGGAGAGAGAGAGAGUUGGUGAUGGAGUGUAGAAGCCAUUGGAUUGUGUAUGUCAUUUAGGGCCUUCUUAGAUACCAGAAUUUCUCAUAUGGUGAUAUCUUAAGAUGGCUUCUCUUCAUCUCAAGGGAAUGAGAGGAAAAACAGGCACAUUGGUUGAAGGAGGCUGCCAAAGGCCUGCAAUCCAUGAAUUCUCAAGACAACAGAUUCCACCGGAAAUGUGAAUUAUGCGAUCCCUAAAAUUUAGUGAUUGGGAGAAGUAAGUUUGCCAAUCAAGAGGAAAACCACUCUCCACCUUAGCAAGCUCUUCCCACUACGCAUCCACACAGUCCCUUAACGAAGAGUGAGAGAAAGGUGGAGAGUGGUUCAGUGGAGACAGCUUACCAUAUGGGCAUUGACUAAGAAGAGAAUUGUGUGAAGGACAUUUCAUGUCAUUUACGUACAUUCCCCCGCCUGUUUGUAAGUUGUAAUAGAACACAAAAGUCAUUUUUCUUGUUGAAGAAAGCAAGAAAAAAUGCAGUCCCCUUUGAAUUUCACAUUCCAAAACAAUAUUGACAGCAGGCAUGUUCAUUUUUUUUUCCCUUUUCCUUAUCUUAGUUUUAAGAGGGUUGGGCAUUCUUUUUAUUUGCUUUGUAGUAGAGAGGGGAUUCUCUGUUUUUUACGGUCUUCGUAGCAUAGUAAUCUUUUUUUCUUGUCUACAAAAAAUUGUAUCGCCAUAAGAACCAUAAUUUAACAUGUUAAUCAUUGCUAAAGUUUCUAAGCCCCAAAUAACAAUAAUACAAUUUCUUUUACAAAUGCCAACAAAACUCAAAAUAUUCAUUCUAUAUUUUUAUAUUUCUAAAUUCAUUUGCCAACAAAAACUUAACAUCUUGUUGAGCAAACUUUUUUUUUUAUUUUGGUAACACAUUAUGUAGGGUCCCCAAGAUAAAAUUGCUGGCCCUGCCCCUGCUAAGCAAUCAUGCUCAUGAAACAGCACUUCCAAUUAACAUUUGUGUCUCUUCUAGAAGUGUGGACAACAAAAUGCCAACGAUUGUACAAGCACGAAAUCAUUUGACUUGAGUGCAGAAAUUGUUCCUAGAUUGUAUUCAAAUCAAGUUUCUUAACAUCAUGCACGAAGGGGAAAAUGGCUUUGAGGAAGAAGAUAUGGCACAACAAAAUAUAUUUUAUGAAAAUGAAAAUAAAAUGAUAUCAUGUAAGUUGAACAUCAAGACCUCUUAAAGCUUUGGUUCAUUUAUCCAAGAGAGAAGUACGUUCCAAAAAUCAGUUAGCCUGAUUGGCUACAUGACCAUGUUUUUUGAUGUAGAUAUGGUAGCAGGAUAGCCUUUCUCAUCAUUGACAAUAAUAAAUAAGUGAAGCAUUUCACUAAAGGUACAAAAGAAACCCUGGGCUCCACAAGGUAAGAGUCAAAUAUGGUUGUUAGUUAAUUUUUCUAUUGGCAAAAAUUUAUUUAUGAGAACAGAGUAUAAAGGUACAUGUUGGAAGACCAAUGUUGCUUGGACACUCACAAAUCUAGCUUCUUGAUUUGUCAAAAACUUGGACACUUCAUAACACCCAUUCACACUUUAAAUCUAAGAACCAAAUGAUUUUCAUUAUUACAUUUCAACUUUGGCACUUCUAUACAUACAUACAUAUAUAUAUAUAUAUAUAUAUAUAUUGUGCUUAAAACAACAUCAACAGAAGAGCUAGUAGCUUUUAUCAAAUUAUGUAGUAGUCAGCCUCACAGGUUAUUAAUUAGAUACUUAAUUAUGAACACAUCUGUUUAUUAUAGAUGUAUCCUUAAGUCCGCUUCCUUGAUGCCACUCCCAUUGAAUUAAUCUAUCUAGACACCUGGACAUUUGACACCCAUAGUACAUCCAUUCUAAAGAACAUUUCAAUUUUACUGAAAGACAAUGAGCAACAAAUCUCAGAUCUCAUGAAGGAAAAUAAGUGCAAAAAGAAAAAGAGGCGAAAGGACAUGCUCAACACAAACCAAACAAUGUCUUCUAGACAUCAAAAGGAAUGAAGAAAUCUUUGUGGUGAUAAAAAGAGACAUAUCAAGACAGCUAGAAAAAAGAAAGAAAUAAAGAAAAAUGUGCACACCUUAAAGAUGGAAGAAAAAGUUUUUAGUAGUUUGUGUCUUUAAGGACUCAAAAUAGUUUGUCUUUAAGGACUCAAAAAAUGCCCAGUUUAAGUGGAGGAAGUAUGUAGCUGACCACUUUAAAUCUUUUGUGAUAUCACUUUAGUUUUCCCCACACUGUAGGUCCUGCAUCAUUUACAAUCUAUAAGAACUAUGAAGUCCCUUUUUUUGGGGCACCUAAUUGGAUCAAAAGGCCUAUAACAAAAGGAGGAAAGGACAAGAUCAUACUUUCUUGGUUAUCAAUACAUGUCAUGAAAUAAUUAGUCAAAUUUCCUUUUUUUCCCCUCCUUAUAUUUUAGUUUAUUGAACUCCAUCCAUAAAAUUAAGUUUAAAUUGAAGAUCAAUUGGUAAAGUUGUAGAUUUAGCAGUUCCUCCUCUUUCUUUUUUCUUUCUCCAUUCUUAGGAUCUGAUUUUCGAUCAGAUUUUAAAUAUUUAAACAUCUAGAAGAUAACCUUUCAUUUGUCACUGAAUCAACAGACCUCUAGUCACUAUCUGUAUGUAUGCACACCACAUGCCAUCUGAACACAACUUUGCCAAUUGUUUAGAAGUACAUAUUUUUUAAACCCAGUCCACGUGAAUUACCCAAUUGAAGUUCGAAAAAAACUUUAUUGCCUACAAGAAUGAAGGUAAUACAUUAUACGGCCUGGUCAAUUAUUCAUAACCUUAACUGAGAGUCCGAGGAAAAAAUUGCACUCGAGACAGAAAGCUUUGAAUUAAUUAGGCUCUAAACAUAGAGCAUCCUUGCAAUAUAUUUGUCAUUUGGAGCAAGUGAAACGAUAACAUAAUCAUAGUAUAUAGGCAAAGAGUUUGAAGUAAAAUUUAUUUGCAGUGUGGUAUAUGUUUAGUUGGUUGGUUUUGGGGGUGGGGCGAUAACAAUAGGUUUUCUUACAUCAACUUCAAGUGCAAAACCAAGAAAGUGCAUCCAUCAUCUCCCAUCUUUAUCUUCUAGGGGGGCGAUAGUAUUAUAAAACAUCAUGACCACCUCAAGUCACACCAGCCUAAUUAGCAGUGGAAUGUCUUUUCAUAUUUUCUUGUCCUGUGGGGAUGAAUUAUAUAUCUUUAGUUAUUUAUUGCUUUUACCUUUCUUGAUAGCUUCAUUGUUCCUUUCAUCCAGAAGUGGUCCCUUUCGAAUACUAGUAUGGGUGUGUGGAAAAAGAGUGAAGAAUGAACCCUUUAAUGUUUGGUAGAAGGUCUAAGAGGCAAACUCACGUAACUUAUUUUAUCAACAACAAAUGUGAUACCAAAAUAAGUAGCUUUCACAAUUGUCCACCUUUCCUUUCAAACAGAAAGCUGCUUUAUAAAAUGUCAUAAAAUUAUUUCGUCAUGAAACUCGAGCCUUCCCUGGUUUUUUCUUUCCUUUCCUGAAAGAGGCUCCAUAUGUUUUUCAUUUCACUUGCCAUGUACUCAUAUUUGUUGCAAACAUGAGGGAAGAGAGGUUAUAAGACAGAUGGAAUGCACUAGGAGUAACAUAACACUGAAAGGACCAGUACAUCAUAGCUUUAUUUGAAAGGCCUGGAAAAGCCUAAAGACAAUUUCUCAAUAGUGAUUGAUCAAGAUGUCCUUUUUUCUUUCCAUUAAAAGUAAACUAACAGAAUAGCUAUAUAAGCUAUUGUCACUAGCAUGUCUAGAUUCCAGAACUACCAGUGACAACCUAUGUAUGUUAAAAGCUUUACUUCCACACAGAAGUUAAGAAGCAGAUAUCCAGGUUUCCUAAAGAAUAUCUAGGUAAAUCCUGACAAGCUACAGAAGUUUUUAUUUUUGACUGGAUCACUUAAUUGCCCUGACGCUGCUUCAUGGUGGAAAAGAGCUGUAUCCAUGCAGUUAAGCCAAGCAUUCAUUGAUAAACACAGUGAAAUGGGACUUACGGGGAGAUCUGCAAGGGCCUGGCUGAUUGCAGUACAAGCUGCUGCAGUUGCACCAGUCUGUAUAGCAUUCAUUGUGACAUCAAUGAUGAAGAAAAACACAGCAGGCAUUGGAUCACGGACCUGAAACCAAACAAACAUGCAACAAAAUUCAGUUUAAUCAUAAAACAACAGAACAGUUUUGUAGCACAUAGCUCAGUCAUAUAUGCUAAACCCAAAAGAUCGCAAGACUGAACCCAACACACACAAAUGUAAAAGGUCACAAUCAAGGUUUUAAAUUCCUGUCCCAACAACAAUCCUAAUCAUACAUCCCGAUAGAUAUCCUUUAUUUGUUUCCUUCUUUCCUUUCUUUCCUUUUUUUCUUUUUUUCCCUUCUUUUCCUUCUUUUUUCUACCUUCCUUUCUUUCCUUUAUUUUUUCUUUCCUUUUCUUCUCCCCUUCUUUUUUUUUCCAUUUUCCUUCUUCUUUUCUUUCGCUUUUUUUUUCUUCGUCUUUCCUUCCUUUCUUUUUUUCCCUCUUUCUUCUUCUCUCCCCACAUGGAUGGGUUUCAAAGUCCCGAACCCAUCUCAAUCCUAUUUUCUCAUAGGAACGGGAUGAGAUGGCUGGGAUGCCACCAUCCCAUCAGGACGUAAAACCUUGCUUGCAAUCAUUAUUGUGUGCAAACAUGAGAAUAUUGCCUUCUGUCCCUAUAGCACAUGCAUGCUUGAAGAAUGGAGGAUCUGUUGGUCACAGCUCAAUUUGUUUUCAGCAUCACAUGAUCAAUUCCAGACUAAGCAUCGAAAAAGCUGCAAUUAAUACUUGUGUGUGUACUGUGAAAACUAAAUGUCAUGUCCAUGCAAAGAAACUUGCAGCAUGCACCAACAAAGGCAUAGGCAAGAACAUGUACACAUAUGCAUAAAGAUGUUUAAGAAAAAGCAUUAGGACAAAAGCAGAAAAAAGAAAGUAAGCUUCCAUGUGUAAGCUUUGUAUGUAUGUAUGCAUAUGUGCAUACAUGCAUGCAAGUAUACAUGUAUGCAUGAAUGUAUAUCGUAUUUUAACGAAUAAUAUGUAUUUAAGCCCAAAAAAAUACAUACCACCAUGGACAAAAUCUUUGAAAGCAAAUAGUGAAACCAUCACAUUAAACACAGAGAGGCAUGAAAAAUAAAGAACACUACUAGUUACUAAAAGCCCACUAUAUAGUAUUCCUCUGUUGCAUUAGUGAGCUCUGUUAUUGACACAAAAACCCCUUAUAUUAAUAUCUUUGAAACUAAGGCAAGCAAUAGCAAACAGCAAAAGUACAAUGUAACACAGCACAAGAGAGAACUAAAACAAGACAAAUGAAAAACUUGGAAGCAAAAGACAAGUAAACGGACCAUGUAUUCCUUAGUAGCAACAAAUUCCACUGUUCCUCUACAGAGUUCAGGUCUUUCAUCAGCAUCACGCCGCCUACCAUCUGGCCCUAGAUUACAGUAGUAAUCCCGAGGAGUCUCAUUGCUAAAUCCUGCCGAAAGAGUGCUUCAUUAACAAUUUCAUAGUCUUCCAGAAAAGGGGAAGAGAAACAGUGCAUCCGCAUCAUCAUCAUCAUCAUCAUAAUAAUAAUAAUCAUCAUUAUAAAGCUACAUGGAAGCGCCAUGAAAAGACAAAUGUAUCUGUUAAAACUCAAAAAAGAAAAGCAUAAAUUGCAUCAAAAAGAUAAAGAAAUCUGGCAUCGAAGUAAUUUCCUCUAAAAAAUAGAGGGAUAUGAAGUGCGAUAAUUCUGAAAGAGGAAGUUCUUUUUCUCAUGGUUACAAGGAACUUAGUUUGCCAUCCUUCCUAAGGAUGAGCAUACUGGUUAAAGCCAUAAAAGUACAAGCAAACUUGAUAUAAACUUCUAGGGGCAAAAAGUUAGAAAGCAUAGGUAAUGAAAAACUAUAAGAUAAAGUGAACAGGUGAUAAUCUUGUUAUAUUAAUGAGCACCAAAUUGCAAAAACAUCAAGCAACACAAUGAAGCAUGACUACUGAAUGUCAUCUAUGAUGCUUACCACAUAGAUUGCAAAUGAAAUGUCGUCCUUGAUCACCAAAUCUCAUGAAAGGAUUUAUAUAUCCUUUGCAGCGAGAACAUCGAAGAGGUCCACUCUCCCCAAAGUCCACAACCUUUUCAAAAAUUUGAAAAAGAAAGUUCUUAAGAAACAUGAUUAAAGAGCAUUCCAGAAGAAUAUUAAAGCAAAGAACUUACAUACCCAGAAAUUAGAAAGUGAACUUCAUAAUUUAAGCUCAUAAUUAUCAUCUUUCAAUCCAUCAAUACAAGGGAACAGUCAUUAUCGAUAGCAAUUACUGAUGUACAAUAGCAUUUGAUGUCCAUCUAGCAUAUUUCAUGAAAAGCGUAAUAUACGUAUCCAGUGUCCUUAAAAUUGAACUCACAUUGCAUAACAAGAUGACCUGCCACUCUAACGUUACACAGGUAUUGUACUAACAUUCUAAAUAUAGUGGAACAUUUUGAGUUUGCUUUUUUGCAUUUGGUUUUGUGGUGUAUCUACGUUCUUAUUAAGUGGGGGGUAAAGAUAACUUUCCAUUCCAAACUUGUUUGACAGUGAUGUUCAUGUGUUAUAUUUGCUCGGUGGUAUUCAACUUAUGUACUGGCUUCAUAAGAAAGGAGGAAAGGGGGGAACAAAAAGAAAGCAAAGAAAGAAAAACAAGAAGCUCAUGAGCAGAUAAUGGUAGUUGAUGGUAGGCAAGGAACCUAUUAUGCUUCGACUUAUUGAUUAUUUGAUGACCAGGUUAUAUAGCAAUAGUUUAAAACACGUGAUCAAAUCAGACAUUGAAAGAGAGGUUCAUUGGUAGUCAAUCUAGAAAAAUAUUAAAAGUAAUAAAUUCCUUAUAUAUACUGAUUGUCAAGAGUGGUGGCUUCCAUGUAGGCAAGACCAAUGCAUGUGGUGGCUUCCGUGAAGUACCAUCAUUAGUGAAGUGAAAGGCAGCCAUGAUGGCGACGGUGUCUUCUUUGUGGCACGACCAAGUGGUGGCCAUGAGGGGAGAUGAAGGCACGGCAUUGGACAUGACGAAGAAGCACAAAUCAUUCAAUUAGGGCUAG
This 21845-nucleotide long non-coding RNA is filed under the name Elaeis guineensis (African oil palm). RNAcentral describes it as "long non-coding RNA (EGUI_LNC019957)". The record is from RNAcentral. Lineage: Eukaryota; Viridiplantae; Streptophyta; Magnoliopsida; Arecales; Arecaceae.